AAAUUAAAAAUAUUAGCAAAACAUUGCAUGAGACUUAGAAUCUUAUUUAUCACUU
RNAcentral lists this transfer RNA (55 nucleotides) under Loxosceles colima. Its description in RNAcentral is "tRNA-Leu". The record is from RNAcentral. Lineage: Eukaryota; Metazoa; Arthropoda; Arachnida; Araneae; Sicariidae.